This 253-nucleotide ribosomal RNA is filed under the name uncultured bacterium. Its description in RNAcentral is "partial 16S ribosomal RNA". It matches the Rfam family "Bacterial small subunit ribosomal RNA", at positions 524 to 776 of the family's 1533-position model. The record is from RNAcentral.
UACGUAGGGUGCGAGCGUUGCCCGGAUUUAUUGGGCGUAAAGGGCGCGUAGGCGGCUUGGCAAGUGGAUGGUGAAAUCCCUCGGCUUAACCGAGGAACUGCCGUCCAAACUGCUUCGCUUGAGACCGGGAGAGGUGAGUGGAAUUCCCAGUGUAGCGGUGAAAUGCGUAGAUAUUGGGAGGAACACCAGUGGCGAAGGCGGCUCACUGGACCGGUACUGACGCUGAUGCGCGAAAGCGUGGGGAGCAAACGGG